RNAcentral lists this unclassified non-coding RNA (379 nucleotides) under Hevea brasiliensis (rubber tree). Lineage: Eukaryota; Viridiplantae; Streptophyta; Magnoliopsida; Malpighiales; Euphorbiaceae. The record is from RNAcentral.
GGCCACAAGGAAAUCAACGUCUGGUCACCGAACGUCUACGGAACUGCCAUCCCAGUCGCGCCGUACAACUCUCUGUCGCUGAGUCAGGACCAGUCCACCGGAGCAGUGUUGCUGACGAUCAAGAUGGAUGGACGGGUGAGAUUCAAAGUUGGAACCUUCAUCUCUGGGAAGUAUCAUUUAUACGUGAGGUGUCCUGCAUACAUACAGUUCGGGAGUAGGACUGCCGGGAUUAUUGUCGGUGAAAACUCCGUUAAAUACUCUUUGCUGGUGAGCUGCAGCGUAAGUAUUUGAAGAUGAUGAAGAAAGAAGAUAACUUAACUUGUAAUAACGCCGUUAAGUAUUUUUCUUCCUUUUUUUUUUCCUAGAAUUUAUUUUGAAU